AUUGAACGCUGGCGGCAGGCCUAACACAUGCAAGUCGAACGAGUGGCGGACGGGUGAGUAAUGUAUGGGAACUGCCCGAUCAGGGGGGAUAACUACUGGGAACGGUAGCUAAUACCGCAUACUAUCUGUUAACCCAUAGGGGAUUAGCUAGUGGGUGUGUUAAUGGCUCACCAAGGCGACGAUCCCUAGCUGGUCUGAGAGGAUGACCAGCCAAACUGGAACUGAGACACGGCCCAGCCUCCUACGGAGGCAGCAGUGGGGAAUAUUGCACAAUGGGCGCAAGCCUGAUGCAGCCAGGCCGCGUGUAGGAAGAAGGCCUUAGGGUUGUAAAGUACUUUCAGUGGGGAGGCGUUACCGACAGAAGAAGCACCGGCUAACUCCGUGCCAGCAGCCGCGGUAAUUC
RNAcentral lists this ribosomal RNA (403 nucleotides) under uncultured bacterium. RNAcentral describes it as "partial 16S ribosomal RNA". It matches the Rfam family "Bacterial small subunit ribosomal RNA", at positions 30 to 526 of the family's 1533-position model. The record is from RNAcentral.